This is a long non-coding RNA of Falco peregrinus (peregrine falcon), 1834 nucleotides long. RefSeq lists it as uncharacterized. The record is from RefSeq and is a predicted model, not a curated record. Lineage: Eukaryota; Metazoa; Chordata; Aves; Falconiformes; Falconidae. The transcript is spliced from 2 exons.
UUUUAUUUUUCCUCGGGUUUCUCCCCCGCAUUUAUUCCCCCCACCCCGUGCUUUUGUAUUUCCUUUUUCUUCCCUUGCUUUUCACCCACACUUUUUUUUUUUUCCUCCCCCUUUUUCCCCCUCCUGCUUCUUUCCUUGCCUUUUCCUCCCUCUCUGCCCCCCCUCCUUCCCCAAAUGCAGAUGCAGGACACUAUUACGAAAGCAGCUGCAGCCCCAGCAGAGCAGGAGUGCAGGAAGCCCCAGCGAAGGGUGGCUGCAGCAGCCCAGAUGUGCGCUAGCCCAGAUGUGUGCUGCUCCAGGCCCAAGCCAGGGCUCUCGAGGCUUUUAAAAACUACAUCUCCACCGAGGAGGAUUUCCCCUCAAGGCCCGCAUGCACAAACGAAACUGGAAACAAUGGGAUCUGCAACAAGGCAGGGAACUGGCAAUUAAAUAGCGAGAGGUGAAUGUGACAACCAUACUACAAGCUAUGUCUUCCCAGGUGGUUCAAGGGUAUCUGGUUUUGAGGGCAUUCAUAAGAGUUCACAUCAUCUUUCCCAAGUAAACUCCAACUACAGUGGCACUGCUGUGAACCACUGUCAGGACAGGACUUCGUGAUCAAGUCUAAAGCAGGAAGAUCAUCAAAUGGCACCUUCCUGCAGUUCCACAAUUGCUGCAGCCCAGGUUUCCAAAGCCAUUUCCACUCAUCUUCCUUCACACCUUAGAAGACACGCUGGGCUAAGAUUUUGCUGAAGAAGAUAAAUUGUUUGGAUAGCUUCCUCCACAGCUGCCAAGUUCUGUACGAUACCUUGCUGAAGUGUCUCAUUAAAAAAAAGACGUCUUAGAAAUUCCUUGCGCUACUACAGUGAACAUAUUCACGAGGACUGAAACAACAGCCAAACACUAGUAAACAGCCAAGUAUUUACUAGUGGAAGCCAGGUACAGUCCAGUAAUCACUGUGAUUUCAGUGCACAAUCUGCUAGACAGCAGAUAUCUUAACUCACCAUGUGAAAACCACACAAGAAAAUCCAGGUAAUGCUGGGUUCCAUGGGUAGUUCACAUGCACCUGUGGAACUGCCAAUUUUCCAGAAUUUGCUUUCCAAUCAUUAGCACUGUUGAGUAUGUUCCCCAGAGAUUCCAGAACCAAGCUCAUCAGACAGGAGCUUCUGAAACACUUUUUCUGCAGCAGAGUUGAACUUUCUGUGUAAACUCCAUGGCUGAGUGUCUCCAAGGAGACAGAUCCACCAACUACUUGUUCUUUGUCAUUUAACAGUCACGACUGCAGAUUCCAGCUGGGCUAACUCAUCAGAAUCUUAAAUGGAUUAGACAAAAACAGCGUGUCCUUCUGGAGUCCUUUCUAUUCAGCAGCAGGCUUAACCUGCCCUCCUACGUACCUACUUUCUUUCUAUUUACAGCAGUGAAGGGGCUUUCAUACUCAACACCUUUAACUCUUACAGAGCGAUUUUAUAUGUAGGGCUCUAACGGCUGCUUCUUUAGCCAUACAAUUUUGCUAAACCAGAAGGCCCAAGUCACAUCCAGUUUAGCAGUAUAUGCAUGACCAGGAUUGAGAAAGGGAUGGAAGAGUAAAAGCAAGAGAGCUAACUUCACUUCUUUCUUCAUAUAUUUUUAUUUUAUCAGAAAGAUAAUAAUCAAUAGCAUUAUCUGUUCAUAGAUACUGCCUGCAAAGGAAUGACAGCAUAAAUAUAUUGCUCUCACUUCUCAAUCCUCUGAAGUAAGCAGGUCAGAAACUUGGUGAUACAUGCAGCUGAGCAAUUCCUGAAGCAAAAUGAAAUCAAGAUCACAAUCACCAAAUUGAAUGAGCUUAAUAAAUAUAUUAAAAGAUUGACCCAAUUUUAAA